This 505-nucleotide ribosomal RNA is filed under the name uncultured fungus. Its description in RNAcentral is "SSU rRNA". It matches the Rfam family "Eukaryotic small subunit ribosomal RNA", at positions 569 to 1078 of the family's 1831-position model. Lineage: Eukaryota; Fungi. The record is from RNAcentral.
AGCAGCCGCGGUAAUUCCAGCUCCUAUAGCGUAUAUUAAAGUUGUUGCAGUUAAAAAGCUCGUAGUUGAACUUCAGACCCGGCCGGGCGGUCCGCCUAACGGUGUGUACUGUCUGGCUGGGCCUUACCUCUUGGUGAGCCGGCAUGCCCUUCACUGGGUGCGUCGGGGAACCAGGACCUUUACCUUGAGAAAAUUAGAGUGUUCAAAGCAGGCUUACGCCGGAAUACAUUAGCAUGGAAUAAUAAAAUAGGACGUGCGGUUCUAUUUUGUUGGUUUCUAGAGUCGCCGUAAUGAUUAAUAGGGAUAGUUGGGGGCAUUUGUAUUGCGUUGCUAGAGGUGAAAUUCUUGGAUUUACGCAAGACAAACUAUUGCGAAAGCAUUUGCCAAGGAUGUUUUCAUUAAUCAAGAACGAAGGUUAGGGGAUCGAAAACGAUCAGAUACCGUUGUAGUCUUAACAGUAAACUAUGCCUACUAGGGAUCGGACGACCUCAAUCUUAUGCGAUCG